This 2074-nucleotide long non-coding RNA is filed under the name Homo sapiens (human). RNAcentral's name for it is "HSALNT0319407". Lineage: Eukaryota; Metazoa; Chordata; Mammalia; Primates; Hominidae. The record is from RNAcentral.
AGACAUGCUGGGCCAUUUUAGAUCGUUGUAUAAGAAAGCACUGUAAAAACUCAAGGUGAUGUGAUGUUCCUCCUGGAAGGAUUUUGUAGCUUUUCUUCCUGAUGGCUUAUCUACCGAUCAAAGCAACUUCUACCUCACCAGCAGAUACAGAGGCAACUUCUUCCAUAGAUUUCUUCACCAGUUUUCCUUAGCUGUCUCCUUGGAACAUUUGAAAUCCUCUGGUUCUUUGGCACCCAAAUAUGAAGGUCAUUUCAUCAAAGGCCUAAAAUUUUCAUAGAGAGGAUUUGAGAAAGGUGAUCUCAAUAAAAUACAAAAAAAAAAAGGAAGAAAAGCUACAGUAAAAGAAAUAUUGCUACUUAUAUAUGCAAACGAAGACUGAGGACAACUAUUAUCAGCUUUCUACUCUUAAGAAUUAUUUAAGUUGCUACUCCUACUUCUACAUUUGGACAUUGGUUUACCAUGCCAUUUUUCCUUAUAUAUAUUUAAAAAAUCUCUUAAAAAUUAAAAUGGUAGUAUGCAUGUUUUCAGGCCAAAUAUAUAUUUCCAAACUGUUCUAAAUUUGUUACUACUGUGUUUUUACUCCUGAGUAAUCAAUAACAUUGAGUAAUAAAGACAGAAUUAUUUAUGUAUAAAUAAAAAUUCUCAUGAGAAUUUUUGUCUAUUUUUCCUUUUCUGAGUUGAAAAGCAGCCAUUUUCAACAUAGCUAAUUGUUGCUACAGUAUCAUUUUAAAUUAAUGUGGUACAGUGUAUGCUGAAAUAGCAGUGGAAAAAUAUUUAAGUUUUAACAAUGCUCUACUCAGGUAAAUAUCCCUGCAGGAAUCAAAAUUAAUAAAUAUUAUCUUCAGUAUACAUAAUACAAUAUAAUAUCUUUAAUAGGAGUUGCCAUUUUACUGAAUAUCUUCCAUUUGAUGUUUGUGAAAAGUUUGUUCAUUGACAUAGCUCAAUAAUAUUCCAUUUUACAAAUAUACCACAAUUAAUUAACCUAUCCUUCUGUAGAUAGACAUAUGGGUUUCUUUCCUUAUUAUACAUCAUAUUAAACUUUUAUAUUAUGAACAGUUCAUUGAAUCUAUUGAUCCAUUUGUGGAGAAUUUAUAUCUUUAUGAUAUUGAUUUUUCUUCCUAGAGGUAUAAUAUGCCUUUCCAUUUAUUUGAAUCAUUUUUAAUGUUUUAAAAUUUAGAUACAUUUAAUUAAUGUGUGUGUAUCUGUAUGUAAGCUUACUGCAAUGCUAAACAGGUAAAUAUUCAGAACACUCUGUAAAAAAAAAAAAAAGUUGAACUUCCACCUUAAUUACUGACUUUUUUUUAAUUAAUUGUAAGCAGAAAUGGGAUACUGUUUUCUCUGCCACAUUUCUGUCACCUGUGGUCAUAAUCCCUCGAGCUGUAUAAGGGAAGUUGUCUGUUCAAAUCAUGCAGUGUUCUUAUGUCACAAACCAAAACCUGAGUCUAUUAUGCUGAGCUAAUCUGCUUUGACCUGGGUAAUUUCCAUCCUGGGUUGAUCUGAUCUGCCAGGAGGUUUGGCCGUCAGAUUUUGGUGACUUCUGCUCCUCAGAGAAUUCUCAGAAUCCCAAAUUGCACCCCAUCUCACUAAGAGUGUGGAGAGGAAAAGACAGAAGGAUAGAAAAAGAGAAGGAGGAGGAAAAGGAAGUAUCUAUCUACAUGUUUAUAUCUAUACCUUUAUUUAUACUCACAGUAAAGGACAUUUGUCAGAAUAGCCCCCAAACACUAUUGCCGCACCAACAUCUAUUAAAAUAUAAACCAUCUUUAAUAAAUACUGAGCUGUGUAAAUAUUUAUUUGCAUGCAAAAGAAAAGCUCUUUAGUAUUCUUAAGCCAGACUGAGCAGUCAACAGAUGAUUUUGAUAAAUGUCUGUUCAUUACCUGAACAUUUCCAUUGCAAUAUAAAACAAAGAUUUCAUCUACAUUUUAUUUUUGCUCCAUGAAUGGUUCCACACUUUCUAAUCAGUGUUAUUUUUAAGAUUAAAUUUGGAUAGUAAUGUAAAUAUGGGAGGGGAAUGGGUGUCUAAGAGGAUUUUCUGGUUCAUAGUCAUUAUAAUAGUCACAAUAUACAAGAUAAUUU